AGAGUUUGAUCCUGGCUCAGGACGAACGCUGGCGGCGUGCUUAACACAUGCAAGUCGAGGGCAGGGGGUGGCAACACUCCCUGACCGGCGAACGGGUGCGUAACACGUGAGCGAUCUACCCUGGUGUGGGGGAUAGCCGGCCCAACGGCCGGGUAAUACCGCAUGGGUUCUUUUGGGGGCAUCCCUUUGAGAACAAAGUCUUCGGACGCACUGGGAGGAGCUCGCGGCCUAUCAGCUAGUUGGUGGUGUCACGGACCACCAAGGCGACGACGGGUAGCUGGUCUGAGAGGAUGGCCAGCCACAUUGGGACUGAGAGACGGCCCAGACUCCUACGGGAGGCAGCAGUGGGGAAUUUUGGGCAAUGGCCGCAAGGCUGACCCAGCGACGCCGCGUGCGGGAGGACGCCCUUCGGGGUGUAAACCGCUGUCAGGUGGGACGAAUGACCGGGGUGGGAAUACUGCCUCGGGGUGACGGUACCGCCAAAGGAAGCGCCGGCUAACUCCGUGCCAGCAGCCGCGGUAAGACGGAGGGCGCGAGCGUUGUUCGGAAUCACUGGGCGUAAAGCGCGCGCAGGCGGGACGGCAAGUCGGAAGUGAAAUCCCGGGGCUCAACUUUGGGACUGCUUCCGAAACUGCCGGCCUGGAGACCGGUAGAGGUGGGUGGAAUUCCCGGUGUAGCGGUGGAAUGCGUAGAGAUCGGGAAGAACACCUGUGGCGAAGGCGGCCCACUGGGCCGGUUCUGACGCUGAGGCGCGAAAGCGUGGGGAGCAAACAGGAUUAGAUACCCCCGUAGUCC
RNAcentral lists this ribosomal RNA (795 nucleotides) under uncultured soil bacterium. RNAcentral describes it as "bacterial SSU rRNA". It matches the Rfam family "Bacterial small subunit ribosomal RNA", at positions 8 to 796 of the family's 1533-position model. The record is from RNAcentral.